UCAUAAUGUUUUGACUCUGUCCUACCUCAAUGGCUGCCCUGUGAUCAAUGUCACUUUGUGCUUCCUCAGGAUGGGACAUUGCAUCAAGCUGCAGUCUGAUGAGUUCCUUAUGCCUCUUUCACAAGGCACACAACAAGGUACUAGGAGGCCUUUUCACUAUCCGUGUUUCUGAUUUCUGAAAAGGACCAAUGUGACAAGGAAGGUUAAAGUCAACCUCGUGUUGUUACAACAAUCAGCUACAAAGGUGCAACAGGCAGGUGCAGCCGCACAGCUGCACCACAUCGGGAGCAAUCACUGAAGAGCUUCUUAAGCAGCUGAAACCUUAGAGGAGGCAUUGGGUUGUUCACUCUGCUGAGUGGUUGCCAUGAGUGGAACUUCUGCUCUGGAUAAACCUUAUCCACAAGUAAGCCCUACAUUCAUACCAUCAAGAUUCAGAACCAUCUUCUUGACAAUAACCAUUCUCUGUCAUGAUCUGCCAGUGUUAGGGUUUUUGAGUCUGUGUUUUGUUUAUUUCCUUCUUAGCCAGUGUCAGUGUAGUAUUUUUGUUUACUUUUCUCAGCCAGGUGUUUUCUGUUCAUCCAGACCAUUAGAUUACUUCUGUUAGUUGUUACUUCCUAGAUUCUUGUGUUUUAUGUGUUUGUUUAUAUUUUCCUAUAGGUCUUGCUAUUUAGUCUAAUUCCCAUGUGUUCUGUUCAGUUCCUCGUGUCCCUGCUUUCCCUUUGCUCAUUUGUUUAAUUAGACACAUUCCCCUCAGUCUGGGGAUUUGCUGAUUUUUCAACUCUGUAUGCUACCCUGCUUACUUCCUGGCUCCAUGUGUGUUUCACUGUCUGGCUUACCCAUGUAAGUUGUUCUUGUAUAUUAUUAUCAUUAAAUGAAAGACUCUUCAACUCACCAUGCUGCUCCCGAGCGUCAGUCUGCACAUUGGUCCAAACAUACCAUAACGAAUCUUGACAUUCUAGCUCUCAUAGUUAACCAAUCCCAGAAGCCAGACGCCUACGGAAUCCUGACACUGCCCGAAAACAUA
Long non-coding RNA from Girardinichthys multiradiatus, 1024 nucleotides. RefSeq lists it as uncharacterized. Lineage: Eukaryota; Metazoa; Chordata; Actinopteri; Cyprinodontiformes; Goodeidae. The record is from RefSeq and is a predicted model, not a curated record. The transcript is spliced from 3 exons.